UACGUAGGGGCCGAGCGUUGUCCGGAGUUAUUGGGCGUAAAGCGCGCGCAGGCGGCCUCGCGCGCCCGACGUGAAAGCCCCCGGCUUAACCGGGGAGGGUCGUUGGGGACGGCGGGGCUUGAGGGCGGGAGAGGGUGGUGGAAUUCCCGGUGUAGUGGUGAAAUGCGUAGAGAUCGGGAGGAACACCCGUGGCGAAGGCGGCCACCUGGGCCGACCCUGACGCUGAGGCGCGAAGGCGUGGGGAGCAAACAGG
Molecule: ribosomal RNA, 253 nt
Filed under: uncultured bacterium
Lineage: Bacteria
Description: partial 16S ribosomal RNA
Rfam family: Bacterial small subunit ribosomal RNA
Source: RNAcentral